Molecule: ribosomal RNA, 1411 nt
Filed under: Plantibacter sp. R2SpM3P1C8
Lineage: Bacteria; Bacillati; Actinomycetota; Actinomycetes; Micrococcales; Microbacteriaceae
Description: bacterial SSU rRNA
Rfam family: Bacterial small subunit ribosomal RNA
Source: RNAcentral
ACGAUGAAGCCCAGCUUGCUGGGUGGAUUAGUGGCGAACGGGUGAGUAACACGUGAGUAACCUGCCCUUGACUCUGGGAUAAGCGUUGGAAACGACGUCUAAUACCGGAUACGAGCUUCCACCGCAUGGUGAGUUGCUGGAAAGAAUUUUGGUCAAGGAUGGACUCGCGGCCUAUCAGCUUGUUGGUGAGGUAAUGGCUCACCAAGGCGACGACGGGUAGCCGGCCUGAGAGGGUGACCGGCCACACUGGGACUGAGACACGGCCCAGACUCCUACGGGAGGCAGCAGUGGGGAAUAUUGCACAAUGGGCGAAAGCCUGAUGCAGCAACGCCGCGUGAGGGACGACGGCCUUCGGGUUGUAAACCUCUUUUAGCAGGGAAGAAGCGAAAGUGACGGUACCUGCAGAAAAAGCACCGGCUAACUACGUGCCAGCAGCCGCGGUAAUACGUAGGGUGCAAGCGUUGUCCGGAAUUAUUGGGCGUAAAGAGCUCGUAGGCGGUUUGUCGCGUCUGCUGUGAAAUCCCGAGGCUCAACCUCGGGUCUGCAGUGGGUACGGGCAGACUAGAGUGCGGUAGGGGAGAUUGGAAUUCCUGGUGUAGCGGUGGAAUGCGCAGAUAUCAGGAGGAACACCGAUGGCGAAGGCAGAUCUCUGGGCCGCUACUGACGCUGAGGAGCGAAAGGGUGGGGAGCAAACAGGCUUAGAUACCCUGGUAGUCCACCCCGUAAACGUUGGGCGCUAGAUGUGGGGACCAUUCCACGGUUUCCGUGUCGUAGCUAACGCAUUAAGCGCCCCGCCUGGGGAGUACGGCCGCAAGGCUAAAACUCAAAGGAAUUGACGGGGGCCCGCACAAGCGGCGGAGCAUGCGGAUUAAUUCGAUGCAACGCGAAGAACCUUACCAAGGCUUGACAUAUACGAGAACGGGCCAGAAAUGGUCAACUCUUUGGACACUCGUAAACAGGUGGUGCAUGGUUGUCGUCAGCUCGUGUCGUGAGAUGUUGGGUUAAGUCCCGCAACGAGCGCAACCCUCGUUCUAUGUUGCCAGCACGUAAUGGUGGGAACUCAUGGGAUACUGCCGGGGUCAACUCGGAGGAAGGUGGGGACGACGUCAAAUCAUCAUGCCCCUUAUGUCUUGGGCUUCACGCAUGCUACAAUGGCCAGUACAAAGGGCUGCAAUACCGUAAGGUGGAGCGAAUCCCAAAAAGCUGGUCCCAGUUCGGAUUGAGGUCUGCAACUCGACCUCAUGAAGUCGGAGUCGCUAGUAAUCGCAGAUCAGCAACGCUGCGGUGAAUACGUUCCCGGGCCUUGUACACACCGCCCGUCAAGUCAUGAAAGUCGGUAACACCCGAAGCCAGUGGCCUAACCGCAAGGAUGGAGCUGUCUAAGGUGGGAUCGGUAAUUAGGACUAAGUCG